UGCAAGUCGUGCGGACCUUUUAAAAGCUUGCUUUUAAAAGGUUAGCGGCGGACGGGUGAGUAACACGUGGGCAACCUGCCUGUAAGACUGGGAUAACGCCGGGAAACCGGGGCUAAUACUGGAUCGUUUUUUCCUCCGCAUGGAGGAAAAAGGAAAGGCGGCUUCGGCUGCCACUUACAGAUGGGCCCGCGGCGCAUUAGCUAGUUGGCGGGGUAACGGCCCACCAAGGCAACGAUGCGUAGCCGACCUGAGAGGGUGAUCGGCCACAUUGGGACUGAGACACGGCCCAAACUCCUACGGGAGGCAGCAGUAGGGAAUCUUCCGCAAUGGACGAAAGUCUGACGGAGCAACGCCGCGUGAGUGAAGAAGGCCUUCGGGUCGUAAAACUCUGUUGCCGGGGAAGAACAAGUGCCGUUCGAACAGGGCGGCGCCUUGACGGUACCCGGCCAGAAAGCCACGGCUAACUAC
RNAcentral lists this ribosomal RNA (468 nucleotides) under uncultured bacterium. RNAcentral describes it as "bacterial SSU rRNA". It matches the Rfam family "Bacterial small subunit ribosomal RNA", at positions 56 to 504 of the family's 1533-position model. The record is from RNAcentral.